Molecule: ribosomal RNA, 535 nt
Filed under: Stenotrophomonas sp. C19
Lineage: Bacteria; Pseudomonadati; Pseudomonadota; Gammaproteobacteria; Lysobacterales; Lysobacteraceae
Description: bacterial SSU rRNA
Rfam family: Bacterial small subunit ribosomal RNA
Source: RNAcentral
AAUGGGCGCAAGCCUGAUCCAGCCAUACCGCGUGGGUGAAGAAGGCCUUCGGGUUGUAAAGCCCUUUUGUUGGGAAAGAAAUCCAGCCGGCUAAUACCUGGUUGGGAUGACGGUACCCAAAGAAUAAGCACCGGCUAACUUCGUGCCAGCAGCCGCGGUAAUACGAAGGGUGCAAGCGUUACUCGGAAUUACUGGGCGUAAAGCGUGCGUAGGUGGUCGUUUAAGUCCGUUGUGAAAGCCCUGGGCUCAACCUGGGAACUGCAGUGGAUACUGGGCGACUAGAGUGUGGUAGAGGGUAGCGGAAUUCCUGGUGUAGCAGUGAAAUGCGUAGAGAUCAGGAGGAACAUCCAUGGCGAAGGCAGCUACCUGGACCAACACUGACACUGAGGCACGAAAGCGUGGGGAGCAAACAGGAUUAGAUACCCUGGUAGUCCACGCCCUAAACGAUGCGAACUGGAUGUUGGGUGCAAUUUGGCACGCAGUAUCGAAGCUAACGCGUUAAGUUCGCCGCCUGGGGAGUACGGUCGCAAGACUG